GGCCUUUUGUUAAAUUUUUAAGGUCUAACCUGCCCACUGAAUCUUUAAAGGGCCGCAGUAUUUUGACUGUGCUAAGGUAGCAUAAUCAUUAGUUUUUUAAUUGAAAGCUAGAAUGAAGGGUUGAAUGAAAAAAUUACUGUCUUUGAUUAAUUUAAUUAAAAAUUUAUUUUUAAGUUAAAAAGCUUAAAUUUUUUUAAAAGACGAGAAGACCCUAUAGAGUUUAAUAUAUUAAUAAUUAUUUAAUUUUAGGAUUUUAUAUUUUAUAUUUUUUAAUCUAUUAAGUUGGGGUGAUUGAAAAAUUUAAUAAACUUUUUUUUUAUUUUAAUAUUUAUAAAUAAAUAAAUGAUCCAAUAUUUUUGAUUAUAAGAAUAAAUUACCUUAGGGAUAACAGCGUAAUUUUAUUAGAGAGUUCAAAUCGAUAAUAAAGAUUGCGA
Molecule: ribosomal RNA, 434 nt
Filed under: Chaetocnema arida
Lineage: Eukaryota; Metazoa; Arthropoda; Insecta; Coleoptera; Chrysomelidae
Description: partial 16S large subunit ribosomal RNA
Source: RNAcentral